GAUGAACGCUGGCGGCGUGCCUAAUACAUGCAAGUCGAGCGAAUGGAUUAAGAGCUUGCUCUUAUGAAGUUAGCGGCGGACGGGUGAGUAACACGUGGGUAACCUGCCCAUAAGACUGGGAUAACUCCGGGAAACCGGGGAUAAUACCGGAUAACAUUUUGAACCGCAUGGUUCGAAAUUGAAAGGCGGCUUCGGCUGUCACUUAUGGAUGGACCAGCGUCGCAUUAGCUAGUUGGUGAGGUAACGGCUCACCAAGGCAACGAUGCGUAGCCGACCUGAGAGGGUGAUCGGCCACACUGGGACUGAGACACGGCCCAGACUCCUACGGGAGGCAGCAGUAGGGAAUCUUCCGCAAUGGACGAAAGUCUGACGGAGCAACGCCGCGUGAGUGAUGAAGGCUUUCGGGUCGUAAAACUCUGUUGUUAGGGAAGAACAAGUGCUAGUUGAAUAAGCUGGCACCUUGACGGUACCUAACCAGAAAGCCACGGCUAACUACGUGCCAGCAGCCGCCGUAA
Molecule: ribosomal RNA, 515 nt
Filed under: uncultured bacterium
Lineage: Bacteria
Description: partial 16S ribosomal RNA
Rfam family: Bacterial small subunit ribosomal RNA
Source: RNAcentral